RNAcentral lists this ribosomal RNA (253 nucleotides) under uncultured bacterium. RNAcentral describes it as "partial 16S ribosomal RNA". It matches the Rfam family "Bacterial small subunit ribosomal RNA", at positions 524 to 776 of the family's 1533-position model. The record is from RNAcentral.
UACGUAGGGGGCAAGCGUUAUCCGGAAUCACUGGGUGUAAAGGGAGCGUAGACGGCUGUGCAAGCCUGAAGUGAAAGGCGGGGGCCCAACCCCCGGACUGCUUUGGGAACUGUACGGCUGGAGUGCAGGGGAGGUAAGUGGAAUUCCUAGUGUAGCGGUGAAAUGCGUAGAUAUUAGGAGGAACACCAGUGGCGAAGGCGGCUUACUGGACUGUAACUGACGUUGAGGCUCGAAAGCGUGGGGAGCGAACAGG